Molecule: non-coding RNA, 1303 nt
Organism: Peromyscus maniculatus bairdii (prairie deer mouse)
Lineage: Eukaryota; Metazoa; Chordata; Mammalia; Rodentia; Cricetidae
Source: RefSeq, a predicted model, not a curated record
CAAAGAACAAGAGGAACAAGGAAGCUGCAUGUGUGAAGACAUGCACGACAGACGCAUUUUAUCAGAGCGGCAGCUAGGGAAGGGCCCUGUAUAACCUUAGCUUCGAGAACCCACGGGAAACGGACAUGACGGGGAAGCCACUGGUUUGCAUCAGGCGCAGAGGUCCAGGCGCACAAUUGGCUUGUUUGCUGUUACAGUCAGACCUUUAUUCCGCCGAGUCAAGUGUUCAUUGUAAAAUGUUGGACUCCGGAAUCCCGAAGACAGCCCCCUUUGUUGUUCGAAAGUGGUCGUGGAACGCAGAGUGCCGUGGGUUCAAAUCCUGACCCUGCCUCUCGCCAACACGGAAGCCUCUUCAGCCACUGUUCUGUGCUUCAGCUGCUCACGUCCUGAAGGCUACGACGGUACCCUCAUCACAGCUGUUCCCAUGUGCCUCACACCACAGCACAGGCACCUGUGGUAGACCGGUGCCACCUGCCAUUGCCGAAUCCUGUGAGCACCGACUUCACGCUUUCCCUUCAACGGGGGUCAGCUGCUUCUUACACACUCGGGACCCUGAUGGUUACACAGCGACACCGUGAAUGCAGGCUUAGGACCCGGGAGGCCCGGCUUGCCUGACGCCAUCUGCAAUGAGGUUGGGUAUCAGCAUGGUGUUCCUUCCCCAAUCUUCAUCUGUAAAGAGGAGAACACGCUGCUUUAUGGCACCAUCACAAGGGCUUUAGGAGCAACUAAAGCUUUUAAAGAGAGGCCACGGGUGUGCUAGGUCUGGACUUUAUGGCCACAAUGUCUGGGUCUGGAAUCCAGGCUCUGCCACCUAUCAUUUACGCAAACUUGGUCAGGGCAGGUUGUAAAUGAAAAUCAAGGUUGUCCUUAUUAAAUCUGCUGGAAGAUUGGUAAAAUUGUAUAAAGUAUUUGAUUCAAAGUGGACUCUCACAACUGAUGGUAGCUCUUACCAACUCAUUCAGACGACAGAUAAAAAUUCCCAUGAUUGUCUUUUGCAUUCUUGUGACGUCAUUCUAACAGAUGCUGCCUCAGCUGACUAGAUUUCACUUUCUGUGAUUUUUAUCUAUCGUGAAGUAGACCUGGAUCGUGCUAGCAACGUACUGUGCAUCUGCUGCACUGAACUGAGUGAAUUCAGAGGAAAGUGUCUUUACUCUAGGGCUUUUCUUUGCCUUGCGUUGUUGAAAAUUGGGAAGUGUUUCACCCCUGGGCUACAUUUAGGCCUCAGUGCUACUUCCGUGAUGGUUUGCCGGAGUCUUUAACUAUAUACAUUUCAUGAAGAAAAAGAAAUGGCUUCUUUGAAAAU